AAACAGAAGAAUCCAGAGGGGAGGGACCCUAGAUACAGACACCCCAAAGAUGGAACUUGAAGUGAUCUUCCUUCGAAGCAUGGUGGCUGGGGUCACUCUGAGUAGCAUAUUUCUGGCUGUCCUGGGACUCACUUUGGAGCCAAGUUUUUGGCCUUGGAACCUACAGAGAUCCUCCAGCCUUGGCUGAAAGGCUGGGAUUAAAGCCACCACACUCUGUUCAUUGCCGUUUCCAAAAGAAAGUAAUCUAUAGGUGUGGUGAGGGUGGUGCAGAGACCAGUCGGUACCCACAGGGCUGAUCCCUCCCGCCCUGCACAGAAGGGCAGUUCUGGGCUUUUGUGUAUCUGAGUGACCUUGGCCUACAGCUGCCCUGCAGGUUGAUGUAAGGGACCAUGGCCAGGACUGCCUCUUUCCCCUGAACAGCCCCUACUUAAUCCAGGGCUCUUUUCUUUGCAAAGACACCUUCCUCAAACUGGUUGGCAGCCUGGAAGCUGCCCUGUGAGCCUCCCUAAGAAGAAACAACAUAAAAUUUACAAAAAAAAAAAAAAAAAAAAAAAAAAAAAGACAAAAACUUUUCCUGUCAACGUAACUAGCUAGGGUAAUAAGAAAUGCCGGUUAGGUUACACACACUGAAUUCACCUUAGUGUAAGCAGGCUUUGGCUACGGAAUCAAUUCCUACAGAGCACAGUAGAGACCCAAGGGCCCAGCCACCCUUAUCGUCCACUGCCCUCCUCCCCAUAGCUCCAUGUCCGCUCUCUUUUCCCUGACAUCCCGAGGGUCUCGGGAUCACGAGAUGUUGCAUCUAGCCCGAGUGUGCCCAUGCCGUUUUCCACCCAUGAGCUUCGCCCACGCCACGAACACAGCAUGGUCUCCCUGUUGUGCAAUGAGCACCCGGAUUCCUCAAGCGGUCGCUGGGCUUAAUGGCCCAGCCGCAGCCCUUCCCAACCCGGAGGCAGUGUCAAGGAUUGGAUCUGGACUCUGCUGGUGUGGAGCAGUUCUGUCAUUUCUCCAGCAGAGGGCGCAUUCUGCAUUCUUCAGAACUCAAGAAGCUCAAGUGUAGCAGACCUGAGAAACAGGGCUACCCUUUGAAGAGGAGAGAUGCAGUCUUUCUUUCUUUCUUUUUUUUUUUUUUUAAAGAUUUAUUUAUUUAUUAUAUGUAAGUACACUGUAGCUGUCUUCAGACACUCCAGAAGAGGGUGCCAGAUCUCGUUACGGAUGGUUGUGAGCCACCAUGUGGUUGCUGGGAUUUGAACUCCGGACCUUCGGAAGAGCAGUCGGGUGCUCCUACCCACUGAGCCAUCUCACCAGCCCCGAGAUGCAGUCUUUCAGUUCAAUAAUUAAAGGUCUAUUUAAAAAGCCAUGUUCGUUUUAGCUUUAUUAUUUCUGUGCUUUUGUGUGGAUUCAGACAUGUGUGCUACACUCCUAGCCCAAACUUCCAAUUUUUCUUUUUUUGACUUGUCAAGCCAGGGUUUCUUUAGUUCCAUCUUAGAACUGGACCUGUAGGCCAAGCUGGCCUCAAACUCAGAGAUCCACUUGCCUCUGCCCUCUCUAGUGCUCGGAUUAAAGUCCUGUGCUACCACCAGCCAGC
Molecule: long non-coding RNA, 1585 nt
Filed under: Mus spicilegus (steppe mouse)
Lineage: Eukaryota; Metazoa; Chordata; Mammalia; Rodentia; Muridae
Description: lncRNA (ENSMSIG00000003315.1)
Source: RNAcentral